Verruconis gallopava is the source of this 82-nucleotide transfer RNA. It matches the Rfam family "tRNA". From Rfam's summary of the family: Transfer RNA (tRNA) molecules are approximately 80 nucleotides in length. Their secondary structure includes four short double-helical elements and three loops (D, anti-codon, and T loops). NCBI's taxonomy places the organism in Eukaryota, Fungi, Ascomycota, Dothideomycetes, Venturiales, Sympoventuriaceae. The record is from Rfam.
GGGUGGUUGGCGCAAUGGUAGCGCGUUGGUUUUCGGUCAUCGAAUACACCAAAGGUUGAGGGUUCGAGCCCCUUGCUGCUCG